UACGUAGGGUGCGAGCGUUAAUCGGAAUUACUGGGCGUAAAGCGUGCGCAGGCGGUUUUGUAAGCCAGAUGUGAAAGCCCCGGGCUUAACCUGGGAAUGGCAUUUGGGACUGCAAGGCUUGAGUGCGGCAGAGGAGACUGGAAUUCCUGGUGUAGCGGUGAAAUGCGCAGAUAUCAGGAAGAACACCCGUGGCGAAGGCGGCUCUCUGGUACGUGACUGACGCUGAGACGCGAAAGCGUGGGGAGCGAACAGG
RNAcentral lists this ribosomal RNA (253 nucleotides) under uncultured bacterium. RNAcentral's name for it is "partial 16S ribosomal RNA". It matches the Rfam family "Bacterial small subunit ribosomal RNA", at positions 524 to 776 of the family's 1533-position model. The record is from RNAcentral.